UGACCUCAAAUCAGGUAGGACUACCCGCUGAACUUAAGCAUAUCAAUAAGCGGAGGAAAAGAAACUAACAAGGAUUCCCCUAGUAACUGCGAGUGAAGCGGGAAAAGCUCAAAUUUAAAAUCUGUCAGUCUUUGGCUGUCCGAAUUGUAAUCUAGAGAAGUGUUAUCCGCGCUGGACCGUGUACAAGUCUCCUGGAAUGGAGCGUCAUAGAGGGUGAGAAUCCCGUCUUUGACACGGACUGCCAGGGCUUUGUGAUGCGCUCUCAAAGAGUCGAGUUGUUUGGGAAUGCAGCUCAAAAUGGGUGGUAAAUUCCAUCUAAAGCUAAAUAUUGGCGAGAGACCGAUAGCGAACAAGUACCGUGAGGGAAAGAUGAAAAGAACUUUGGAAAGAGAGUUAAACAGUACGUGAAAUUGCUGAAAGGGAAACGCUUGAAGUCAGUCGCGUUGUCCAGGGAUCAACCUUGCUUUUGCUUGGUUUACUUUCUGGUUGACGGGUCAGCAUCAAUUUUGACCGUUGGAAAAAGGUCAAGGGAAUGUGGCAUCUUUAGAUGUGUUAUAGCCCUUGGUUGCAUACAAUGGUUGGGAUUGAGGAACUCAGCACGCCGCAAGGCCGAGUAAUUUUACUACGUACGUGCUUAGGAU
Molecule: ribosomal RNA, 641 nt
Filed under: Cortinarius ochrophyllus
Lineage: Eukaryota; Fungi; Basidiomycota; Agaricomycetes; Agaricales; Cortinariaceae
Description: eukaryotic LSU rRNA
Rfam family: Eukaryotic large subunit ribosomal RNA
Source: RNAcentral